Non-coding RNA from Callithrix jacchus (white-tufted-ear marmoset), 13954 nucleotides. Lineage: Eukaryota; Metazoa; Chordata; Mammalia; Primates; Cebidae. The record is from RefSeq and is a predicted model, not a curated record.
CAAAAGAGAAGAUCAAAAGAUUUCAAGCAUGAGAAGAAUUUGAGGUUCUAUUGCUGGCUUUAGAUAGAGGACCAGAGAGAGGCCUCCAGGAUCUAACAGCUAACCCUAAGCUGACAGCCAGCAAAGAAACAGGAACUUCAGUCUUACAGCUGCAAGGAACUGGAUUAUGCAAUCAAUCAUAUGAGCUCAAAAGUGAAUUCUUCCCAGAGCCUUCCAAUAAGAGCCCAGCUGAAAUAAAGACAGCUUGAUUUCAGCUUUGUAAAACUCAGAGCAGAGGAACCAGCUGAGCCCACCUGGACUUCUGACCCACAGAACUAGUAAGAAGGAGUCCACAAGCCGAGGCUGGACCAAUUGCUGGAAAUCAGAGUCCUGGAGGCCUUCGGGACAGACCCCAGCCAAUCUACGCAGAGCAGCCUGGGGAGAAGACAGAAGAGGUGACACAUGUCAGACUGGGCCAUGUCAGUCACAGGAAGCCCUCACCAUCUCUGCUCCCAGCUGCAAGGCAGCCGCCUUGUCCUUUGGUAGAAACGGCUUAGAUCAGCUUCCAGGCCAAUGAAACCUGGCCUGCCCCACCUGGACCUUCGUGACACGUUCAGCACAAGGUGGAACAAGGGAGCAAGUGGGAGAAGAGAUGCUCUCAGUGAGGGCUCAAUACAUUCAGGUUGCUCUGACCUGCUCUCCCAUGCUCACCCCUUCAUCAGCUUUUUACUGAGGCCAAAUCCAAUAAGAUAGGAACAGUUUAAAGUUGGAAUGUAUUACUUGGUAGGAAUAGAUUUUUUAAUUUGAGGAUCAUAAUGAAAUAUUUGCCAUCUCCUCACCACCCUAUUAAAAUAGCACCCACCACCACCCCACCCUGAGAUUAACUUACUCUUCUUCCCUAUUUUAUUUUCCCCAGGGCACUGUCACACUAUCAUCAUUGGACAUUUUCUAUCUUCUUGUACAUUAUCUGUCUUCCACUAGAAUUUAGGCCUCACAAAAGCAAACAAACACAUAUAUAGGCCCAGUUGCGCACAUACAAGCACAUACAUAUAUGCUCAUGCAAGCGAGGUGAUACAUGUACCUAUUUACAUACCUGCACAGGCAUUCACACAAGCACAAAGACAGUCCCCUACAUCCAGAUAAUCCACAUAACAUGUACACUGCUGCAAAGACAUACCAUUCUCCUGAAUGAUAUCAGAGGCGCACUGCUCUAGGACAGACAUGUUUGCCAAGAUGGUCACAAUCUGGAAAAGAGAAUUUAGAAACUGAGAAAAUGAAAACAACUGAUCCAAAUGGUACUCUCUACAGACAGGUCAGCCAGGGGUUACAAAUCUUCCUUUUAUCCUAUGACUCCUUCCUGUCCACUGGGCCUAUCCUUCCAUGGUAUUUUCUUCCAUCUUAAUGGGCUCCUGCCACUCCGAUGUAUUUCCCCAGUGACUAAUGCCCAUUUAUCAGCCUAUGGCCAUAGGAUGCCUCCCAAGGGCCUCAGAACACCCUAGAAAGACUAGCAUCACCCUGGGUGAAGUUGGGGCCCAGCUGUCUUUCUGCUCUGGUCCCCAGUCCUGAAAUGCAGACGGAACCAGCAGGUCCCUGGCCCCCUAACUCCUCUUUGCUGGCUUGUCCUCCUGACAGUUAGCUCUUACUCUAGAUUGAGUUCCUCCAUCCCAGCUUCUUUCCUGAAUAUUAACCCUCACCUACUUUCAACCUGCAAUGGAUGAAAGCUAAGGUCACGUUAGAGGGCAUGAGUAGGAGGACGCAGCAUUAUACCCCAAGCACUGGUAUUAUAUGGAAUCUGAUGAGAACAUGCAUACUCAGCUGCAUGUUACAAGUCUGUGGUAAGCCUCAGUCAUCAGUCAUCACAGAAAGUCUCUGCCUGUAGGAAAGGGGUACUGACCCCAGGUAGACAGUGAGUCUCAUUUACAACUUUAUGGGCUGUAAUCAGCCUCACCUGCAACCCCUUGUAUAGUCAAGGGGGAACACAGAACUCACAGCACAAACUGGAUUAAGGAAUGGCCUGACAGGGUACUCAUUCCAGGGACUCCAAAUUGCACAAAGUGCCAAAACACUACUGGAAUAUAUUGGAAACAUGGCACCUAUUAACUCAGAUACCAUCUACAACACUGCUCCUGAUAUAAAUCGCAAGAUGAAAAUUCACCCACUUUCACAGAAAUGUACAGCACUCUCAAGUGGUAAUUAAAAUAAAUAAUAAAAUUAAAUUAAAAAACACUUCUCACUAGUACGAGCCUCUCUCUCUCUCUCUCUCGAAAGGUUUCUUCAAAGUUUGCAGGAUGAUAUAAGCAAAGGCUAUGCUCCUCUCCUCUGAGACAGCAGUUAACAGUCUAUUGAGUACAAUGCAGGCAGCUAAAAUUCUUUAACUGGAUAGUAAUGUGAUGUCUACCAAGAAAGAGUAUCAUCUACAUUUUAAUUACUCUGGAUAACAAAUAUUACUAUUUUACUCUGGAUAACAAAUACAUGUAAAAAUAUCUUCUUUUAAACAGAAAGGAAAAAGCUUGCUGUGUUAAUAAAAUACCCAUCUCUCCCCUUUCUUUCUGAACACAUGUUGGAAGGCGAUGCCGCAUUCUUCUGCAGCAUCCGUGUGUGUGACAGCCCCUUCCAACUCAGACCCCACUGGAGCCUGGGUGGAUAAGCAUGACUACAGUGGGUUGCCAGAGGAAGGACAGAUGAAUACUCCAGAAACUAUCCUGAAAGCUACUCUGUACCACCAGAUGUUUUAUGAAGGGGGUGACAAGCUCCUUUUUGCAGUUAAGAUAAUAGGACUAAAGGAGAUUUCGGACUUCGAGGAUCUUUAAUGUAUUUAUUUACUAUUUUUGCACUUUUUAAGGUUGUGUUUGUGGGCUCAGUGGAAGGAGUUAGAGGGAAAAGCUGGGUUUAAGAUGCAGUCAAAAAUGGAAAGUUCCCCAAGAGGCACUAUGUGCACAUUCUUAUGAGGGAGGAGGUACACAGCCAAGUCCAUGUUGGUUUAGAGUUUAUUUGGCUAUCUCUGUGCUGUGAGCAGGAAGCAUGAACUCUGCUUCCACCACACAGGGGCUGCGCCAUCCCAUCAUCACCGGGUUGGCCUCUCUGACAAAAACACUUAGUUGACAUGCAGAAUCAUGAAGGAAGAAAGGAAGGGAGGGAAGGAAGCAAGGAGGGAAGGAGGAAGGAGCCAAGUAGUGAGAAAAAUGAAGGAAGGAAGGAAGGACAAAGUAGGAAAAGAAAAGGAAAGCUUUGUCUGCGGCAACGGGUUCAUUACAAAGUAAUUAUUAGCCGAGUCACAGGCACCACGUAGGUCUUUGUGUCAGACUAAUUUAGAUCCUGUUAAUGAAAAUUACUUCCUCUUUACAGAGCCUGUACCCCAUGUGGCUUUCUGGAGGUGCAGAUGAAGUAUUCAAUUAAGCACAAUUUGAAUAAAUGCCAAUUAUGCCCUGCUUUGAGCCCCUCUUUCGAAACAUCCUUGUGUGCACCAUAACAGAGGUCAUUGUUUAUCCUCACAGUCAAGUCCAUGGGUGGGAUUUUAGGGACAACUGUUUUACCUGGUUGGAUACAAGCUAGCAAUGCUGUGAGGCGGCAGAGUGCAGGAGCCAGCCAGCCAGUUUCUCCAGCCCAGGCAAAUUCAUUCCUGUCUGAUAAUGUUCCAUUAAGUUCUAUUCCACCUGAGUGAAAGGGCACUGUUGCCCUUGCAGUUGUUUGGUAAAUCCAGAGGACAUCACCCUUGAGAGUGGCCCUAGGCGAGAGGUCAGUGUAAUGUAAUAGCUGAGUGUAAUGCUCAACCUACAUCUAAAUCCUGGCUCUAUCACAUUUUCCUAUGAUCUUGGCCAUGUUACCUAACCUUCUGUGCCUUGGUGUAUUCAUUUUCUAUUGCUGCUAAAACAAAUUAUCACAAACUUAGUGGCUUAAAACAACACAAUUUAUCUUGCAGUUCUAGAGGUCAGAAGUUCUAAAUGAGUCUUACAUAGCAAAAUUCCAGGUGUUGACAGAUCUUCAUUUCUUCUGGAGGCUCUAGGGGAAAAUCAAUUUCCUAGUUUCUAUUUUCCAGCUUCUGGAGGCUGCUCUCAUUCUUUGGCUCAGGGGAGUAUAUCCUUCUGACCUUUGCUUCCUUAAUCACAUUUGAUUCUCGGACUCUAAUCCUCUUCCCUCCCUCUUAUAAGAACUUCUGUGACGACACUGGAUUUACUUGGAUAAUCAAGGAUAAUAUUCCUAUGUCAAGAUCUUAACUCAAUGGCAUCUAGAAAAUCCCUGUCACUAUAUAAAGUAACUUAUUCACAGGUUUUGAGGAUUAGGAUGCAGACAUCCUUGGGGGCCCUACCACAAGAAAUAAAAAUAAUUCAGCCAGGCACUGUAGCUCAUGCCUUUAAUCCCAGUUACUCCAGAGGCUGAAGCAGGAGGAUCACUUGAAGUCAGGAGUUUGAGACCAGCCUGAGCAACAUAACAAGACUCUGUGUCUAAAUAAAUAAGUAAAUAAAUAAAACAUCUCUUAUAAGACCUGUAUGAGCAUUCAGUGAUUAAUAUCUCAUCAAGCACCCUUUGUUAAAUAAAACAAACCUGGAUCACUCUGGGCAGGAGAACCUGAAAGGAUGCAAGCCUUGAAAGAUGUGUCAAGAAGCACCAGCCAAGCAACAUGCAGCACCUGGGGGCGGCAGGGUGGGUGGCUGAGCAUCAGCAUGGCCAAGACACACUGCUAAUGUGAGAUUCCUCCCAAAGGGGAGCCUGUCCCAGAGCAGGACAACCCUUCCCACAAGAGGAACAAAGUGUGUGUUCACUACCUUAUGUAGCGUUUUCAAAUUAUUUUUUCUUUGGCCCCCAAAGACAUUAAGAAAAUUGACGCAGACAGGAAAUUGAUCCAGGAUAGCAGGGGACCUCCCACGUCACUGGUUCAAGAAAAUAUGCCCCUGUGUGGUAGGAAGGAGGUUGGCGAGGCCUUUUGAUGUCAGUGCACACGGAGGAAAAGGUGCGCCCUGUGCUGGCCCAAAGCAGGUUUUCUGGAAACAGUUGUCUGCAGGCUGAUGACAAGGUAUGAACCAGGCCUGCCACAUCCUAACAGUGUCUCAGCAGUCAGCCCUGAUCACACCCUGACUUUGCCUGCAUUCCUUUGCUGGAAACUAAUACUGAAGACCAAACUGCAUUCAAGGCAAGUGAAGAAUACCCAGGACACCCAAGUAGACAGGUGCUCUGAUCUAAAGAACUUUCAACACAGAAAGCCUGGCACAUAUUUCAUGAAACAUUAUGAUUACUUUUAUGCUGUACAGAAAUUAGGACCAAAAGGCCAACAGCUUAUAUGACUGUAAUUUGAAUUACUCUUUAAUUUUCAGAUGAAUAUUUAGAUUUCUAUUCUCACCAUGUUAACUCUGAUAUUUGCAGCAACAAUGUCAACUGCAGCCCUGAGAACAAAAAGCAAAAUCAUUUUCAGCCUCUAGCAAGCUUGUCCAACCCAUGGCCUGCAGGCCACAUGCAGCCCGGGACAGCUUUAAAUAUGGCCCAACACAAUUUGUAAACUUUCUUAUAACAUUAUGAGAUUUUUUGUGUGAUUUUUCUUUUCAGCUCAUCAGCUAUCAUUAGUGUUAGUGUGACCCAAGACAAUUCUUCUUUCAGUGUGGCCCAGGGAAGCCAAAAGAUUGGAUACCCCUGCUUUAGGGGAAGCUCAGUGCUUCUCUGCACCUUCUUCCCUCCACACGACUUCCUCUACCAAAGAGCAGAAAGAAUCUGGACAAGGACAUUGAUUUGUAGAAUUAAGGGGUCUAAGGGAGGAAAGGUGUGGUAUCUUUGAACAUACUUUGUUUUACAAGGCCAGAGAAGCAAGAGAGCCCAGGAGAAAGUAUAGCCCUCUUCUCUUCUGCUCUCUUUUGAGCCUCUCCCAUCCUCUAGCAGGCAUGGCCCAGGGCCCAGGACCUGAGAGGGCUGGACAGGCAUAGAGGCUAGGAGAAGGGCACCUGCCUAGGCCCAGAGACAAGCAUACAGCUUCCUCUUUCCAGUACUUGGGUCUUCUCACUGACAGGAUCGGCAUUCUCUUCUUACUACUAUAGAGUCAAGAGUGGAGGACUAAAAUUUAGGCUUAGGAGACAGUACGAUAAAAGCCAUGGAACUGUUUUGGAUGUAGGUCUCGUACUGCUGGUGAAUAGGCUGAAGGGCUCUCCUGGGUGAGACCCAGCUCCCUCAUCCUGGGGAUUACACAAAUGUUGGGCUGUAACUCCACAGUGUUAGAGAGCAUAUAAAGGCCAAACCAUAUUCUCUGUGCUUGGUUUGCCCUUGGCUUUGUAGGGAGGGGUUUCCGGAACGGGUCGGGAUGGGGUGUUAUGAUCCGGGAUUCCUCCAAUACUACAUAACGUCCCUGAUAUGGUUUGGAUCUGUGUCUCCACCGAAAAUCUCAUGUUGAAUUGUAAUCCCCUGUGUUGGAGGUGGAUCCUGAUGGGAGGUGAUUCAUGGGGGUGGAUCCUUCAUGAAUGAUUUAGCACCAUCCUCUUGCUGCUGUUCUUGUGAUAGUGAAGUGAGUUCUUGUUGAAAAGUGUGAAGCACCUCCUGCUUUGCUCUCUCUUGCUCCUGCUCCUGCCAUGUGAUGUGUCUGCUUCACCUUUGCCUUCCACAGUUACUGUAAGUUUUAAGUCCUCUCCAGAAGCCAAACAGAUUCCAGCUUCAUGUUUUCUGUUUAGCCUGCAGAACCGUGAGCCAAUUAAACCUUUUUUCUUUACAAAUUACCCAAUCUCAGGAAAUUUAUUUUUAUUUUUAUUUUUGAGACAAGGUCUGGCUGUAUCGCUUAGGUUGUAGUGCAGUGGUACCAUCUUGGCUCACUGUAACCUCCAUCUCCCAGGCUCAAACCAUCCUCCCACCUUAGCUUCCCGAAUAGCUGGGACUGUAGGUGUGCACUACCACGCCUGGCUAAUUUUUUUUUUUUUUAGAGAUAGGAUUUCGCCAUGUUUCCCAGGCUGGUCUUGAACUCAUAAACCAAGGCAAUCUGCCCACCUCAGCCUCCCAAAGUACUGGGAUUACAUCAGGCAUUUCUUUACAGCAAUGUGAGAACAGACCAAUACAGUGACCACCACGUUAACUACAUUUCCUGACCCUACCUUCCUGUUUCAAAGCUGACAUUCCCUGUCUCAAACCUACCCCAGCCUCCAGUUCUGUUAGAGACUGUUGUCCCAUUCAUUAUUGAGUAUUCACUUUGGUUUUAAGUACUUUACUAGUGUUAUUCCAUUUACUCAUCAUAAUGACAUGAAGGAGGGAGCAAGUGUUAUUAUUUCCAUUACACAGAUGAGGAAAUUGUGACUCAGAGAGGUUAAGUGAUUUGUCCAAGGUCACAUAGCUGGGAAAUGGCAGAACCAGAAUGUGAACUCAGAUCUGUCUGAACUAAAAAGCUGCACUGUUUCUAAUAUAUCAUAUAUAUACAUGACAGAGCUUUAUAAACUAUAGAUUUUGAGAUGUGAGCCAAAAAUACAACCUCUAGUGACUAUCAUUUUCUGAUAAACGGUAUUCACAGUGAAAUCCCAGAAAUAUUACAAAAUCUGGUCAUUCUAAAAUGCCAAACAGAUGGUGUAUUAUUGUGGGAAGUAUAUAGUAGCACUCCUACCCUUAUGAAAAUAGUUAAUUCCUGAAGGCCACAAAAAGUCAGGCUCAGUAAAAUCUCUAUUACACAUUAGACAAGAUCAUCAGGUCCCUUCCAUCCUAGAUUGUCCCUGCUUCACAGGCAGGGCAGAGGUUCACCAAUAUAUCUGGAGACAGCCCCUUUCCUACCUCCCCCUGUCAGAUCUGUAGCUGAUUCCAUGGGAAGUAUGGCUCCUGGAAAUACCUCCUUGGCAUGAAAACAUAGGACUAUCCAGAUUACUUGUUGGGCUUCUCAAGGCCUGAGCAUAUCAGCUGCAGCCCAGGCCCCCUUCCUGUAAAUUAGCUGAAAAGCCUAGGUCCAAGGCUGCCCUCACCAACUUCCACACUCCAAGGCUGGCUACAGGAUAGGCAUGGCUAACGAUGCUUCUGUUGGACGAAUUAUGUGGACCUUGCUUGCCAGGAUGAUAGAGAAGUUCUCAUUGUUCAAACAGAGGUGGUCUGUAUAGAUCCAGGACCAAGAGGCUCCACACAGCAUUGUUGUCAUUGGCAGGUUCAUUACCGGAAGCCUCAUGGGGCAUUGAAUCUCCUAAGUAUUUCAGGGGGCAGUGAGCACUUCAAAGCCUAAUUCAUCUUUUUUGUCUUCAUUACAGGGAGCCCUGAUCACCUUAAUCCUUUUGCUGCCACAGGAAAGAGCCAUUUGUUUCUUUAAUGGGUGCACUUUCGCUAGCUAAGUGGCUGUUCUGAGCCAGGGCAGAAGGUGAAGCCAUCCUGAGGACAGGUGGUACAUGCCUGGCUCAGACAGUGGAAUAACAUGAAAAGCUACUGACUCCAGGUGCAGAAAGAACUAUCUGCUGGCAGCAUGACCACAUUCUCUCCCUACUCUGAUCUCCUUUUCCUAGGACUCAGUGAGGCUUCAAGAGUGGGCCAGUCACUCCUUGUGAUGAGAAGGGGGCUUCUACACAUAGAGUCACAGGACAUCCAAAAUGGAAGAAGCCAUAACUCUUUUACAGAUGAGGGAACUCCUCUCUGGAGGUUCCCGUUCAGUGCUGUGUGCCACACAUUCAAAGGCCAAUCAUAAUAACAUUGAUAGUGGCUUCUGUUGAAUUAAUAGUUUCUAUGUGUCAGAGUCUGUACCAAGAGUUUAUAUUUAUCAACUUAUUUAAUUCUUAUUUCAACUUUGUAAAAUAUGUAUUAUUUAUUUCCAUUUUACAGAUUAACAAAGUAAGACUCAAAGUUAAUUGCCCAAAGUGACAUGAUUAUUAAUAGCAAAAAAGCUUCAAAUUCAGGUUGUCUGACUCCAAAAUUCCUGGUCUUACUGACUCACUACUUGAUCUUGUAUGAAAUGACUGGAGUUAGCCACAGGAGAGGCACUUGAAGGUGAAGGGACCUAAAAUUAUGUCAGGUACAUGAGAGACCAGCAACUGGAGGUACCUAGCUGAAGACAACAAGAGCAUGAAUAGGGUGGAUCACAAAGGGUGCGCCCUCCUGUCUCCCUCACCACAACCAAGGAUAUGUCUACAGUAGACACGGGGCAUGUCCCCCUCAGGAGCCAGUCAGGCCAAUGGCCAACCAGGGGCCACCACUCUAUCUGUUACUGUCAUACCUUAUCUCUCCAGAGACUUAUCCAACUCUUAGAAGUAAAAGAUUAGACUGGAAAGGAAGUCUGGAAUUAUACAUGUCAUACAGUUUGGAAGGCUGAGUUGAGGAUUUCGGGUAACACACUAUUAAUGCUCUUCCUUGGAUCAUCAGGUUUAAAAAAUAAUGAUAUUCACCAUUUAUUAUGAACUUAGUAGGGGCUAAGCCUUAUAUUAGGUUUUUGCAUAUCUUAUUACACUUACCUUCACAAUAACCCUGCAACAUAGACAUUAAUGUCCCAAUUAAUAGAUGGAAAACUAACACGCAGGUGCCUUUGACUUGCUCAAUGUCACUCAAUUGAUAAAUGGCCCAGGCAGGACCAACACCCAGUCUGUGGUUCAACAGCUGCACGACCUCCUUUCUUCAAAGACAACAGCAGAUGAGAGUCAAAGAUCAAGUUCUAAGAAUUUAAAUGUAAACCUGAUUUAAAUGCUGGGUAGCUGCCUGCCAACCACUUAAUUUUGGGGAUAUCCUCUUGAGCCAAAAUAUUCUUAUCUACAAAAUGAGGCAAACAUCACCAGUGUCACAGUAGUAUUAGAACUCUCAUAUGCAAAUGCUUAGAUAUUAGAAAAUUCUCUCUGAAUAGGAGCUUCUAUGGUCAGCUGCCCUUUCACAGGUGAUUCUAAGGAUAAGAAAUAACUGACGAAGUUUAGGGAACUUCACCAAGGCUAUCAGCUCUAGGCUAGAGGCCUUAAAAAUCCUAGGGAAGUUCCAAACUUAGGUCAUGCCCUCAGAGGAGGAAAAUCACAUGAAAUAAUUAAGAGGAAUAAAUGUCAUUAGAUAAGUCAACACUGCAUUGUGAGUUACAAAUGCUAAGAAAAGGAGGCAACUCCAGAGAGCUGAAACCAUCAGGAAAGGCCUUCCUGGAGCUGCUGGCAUGGGACAGAAACCAAAGCAACUUCAGUUCAGAGAUAAGGGUGGAAGGGGUGAUGGUGUGGGAGCUAAAAUGCAGACAGGAAUAAGCUGAGUUGGGGGAGAGAGGAUCAUCUAACUUAGAGCUUAGGUACUGGGAGGAAUUGGGAGAGAGAAUCAUCUAACUUAGAGCUUAGGUACUGGGAGGAAUUUACAGAGACCUAAAGCCCACCUAAUCUACCACCCCCACUCCUUGUUGGGGGCCAGAGGUGAACCAGGAUAAAAUUCUAGGACAUCAGAGUUCAAAAAGCCUUUAAAAGCCCCUCAUUCUAUGUUUUCAAACACUUUUAGUAGUAAAACCCCUUUUCUACCAAAGAAAAUCUUUCACAGAGCUCAAAUAUACAAAGAAAAUUAUGACUGAUGUAGAGGCUGAAGCCCAGAAUUAAGGUUCUGCUCCAAGCCUCUGUUUCUCAUGAAGGUAGAGAGGAAAGUGGUUCACUACAGGGUUCAGUGUCAGAUGGGCACCAACAUGACCAGGACACAGAACUUCAGAGCAGGUCCAGGUACUUUCUGUGGGUCUUUCUGCCUCCAAGAACAGGCAAUCUGAAGAGAUUAAAGAAGGCCCUGAAGUGGCCAGGAUGGGCAAAGCAGAUAGGAAAUCUCAUAGAGAGGCUUUAAGGUCAAUGAGAGACAUGGAAAAUAUAUUCCUUUACCUUUCUGCAGCAUGUAAAGCUCACAAUGGGAUGAGCCAAAGGGGUAGGAGGUCUCAUAAAGAGGCUUCAAGGUCAAUGAGAGACAUGGAGAAUAUUUACCUUCUUACAGCAUGCAAAAUUAACAGGAUUCCCCUGCCCUCUCCCCUACCUCAGAAACUAAGUGCUGGCCUCCUAACCUCUGUCUCCACGGCUACAGGCCCUGGGCUUGGUGCCUUCUGGACACCUUACCUGGUCUCGAGUAUAAGGCGUGUCCACUCUCUGCUUGUCACUACAGGCUUCCAGGAGGACACGAAUGGCGUUCAGCUGCAGGAGCAUCUCGCAGGCCAUUGUGUCAAAGAAGGUGAUGUUGGCAAGGGCCGCAGAGGCCAAUAGGAAGACUUCCCCUGAUGAGGCCUCUUGGCACAGUUCUGGAUGGUGAAGAGAAAGAAAAUAACUUCCAUGCCAAGUGUUUUCAUAUCAGUUGUCCCUUUGGUUCCCACAAUAGCUCUGGGAGAUCUUCAGAGCAGGUGUUGUAAUACCCAUUUUGCAGAUGAGGAAAGUGGUUACUACAGAUGGAACAGUAUCUGUCUACACAAGUGACCAAGCUGGGAUUUAAAACAUGGCAUGUAACUCUACUCACUCCUUCAACCAAUAAGUAUUUAUUGAAUGAGCACUACGUUCCAGGUGCCAAUGGGGUAUUGGGAUGGCAUAGUGAACAAAACAGUUCAGGUCCUUGCCCUUGUUGAACUCACACUCUACUAGUGGGCAAGAAAAUGAACUUUUAAAAAAUUAUGCAUAAUUCCAAAGUCUGAUAAAUAUGAGGGAGAAAAUGAACAAGUGCUAAGACAGCAUAUCUAGUCGCCCACUGAGGUGCGCAACAAAAGGUGUCCCUAACAAUGUGACUUUACAGCUGAGACCUUAAAGGAAGAAAGGGGCCAGUCAUAAAAAUUACUUGGGGAAACAGAAUAUUCUAGACCAAAGGAAAAAGAAAUACAAAGCCCAUGAAGUGGGAAGGAGCUUCCAGUCCCUUUGUUUCUCCAGUAAUGCACACUAGCCUGCUGCUAACCUUGCCUUAAGGAAGAGACUAAAGGUAAAACAGAGAGAUUAUACCCCUCCAGCUGCCAUCAACAGAGCCUUGGUGCUUCCUUUUGGUCCCGGGAUAAGAGGCAUCUGGCAGCAAGAAAGUCCUAUACCAAGCUCCUGAAUGUCAGGCUCUUAAUCUCUAAUCCUAGUGGUCCUAGCUCAGCACUAACCAAACUCCCCCACUUACCAUCUGUAAUUGUACUAAGGACCUUUAAGGAGCAGAGUGACCUCAUCCUUCCACCACCCGACACAUCCCUCAUGGGCUCCACAGAACCUGGAAUGGACGCCCAUCUCAGGAGGAGGAAUAGAUUGAUUCUAUCCAUGGUGCUUCUCCCAUUUCAGUAGACCUGAUGUCUAGCCCUCAGCUCCAACCUGACCAUCAAUCCAGGUACUUCUGUGGUCCAGACCCUCUCCUACUGAUAACAUCUCCACAAAACCACAAAAGGCAAGACAUACUUCAGAAAAAGAGCUUCAGGAGAGAAAAAAAGUUCAAGAGACAAAAUUGAGUUAUGUUUUAUCCUGGUCCCUAGUUGCCUCCAGACAAACCUAUACCUCCAGGUUCUGAUGCAAAUGCGACCUCCUAGCAUCUACCUGUGAAUGCACCUUCUGAUGCCUACAUUUUAGUUUUAGUAAUAAAACCCUUUUUCUACCAAUAACAUUAGUCAAACACCUGCAGUGGGCCUUACACUAUGCCAUUAAAUUCUGAAUACCCUCAAAGUAGAAAAUGAUUGUCCACAUUUACAACUAGCUGAGUCUUAGAGAAGCUAGUAGUAGCAACAGCUACCAUUUAUUGUUUACUCACUGCUGUACAUAUUUUUACUUCUCCUUACAACAAUCCCAUUUUUAUCACUGUUUUGUAAAUGAAGAAAUUGAAGAUUCAUAUAUUAAGUGACUUGCCCAUGGUCUUAUGGCCAAUAAGUAACUGACUGAGGCUAGAAUCAAAUCCAGGUCUGCCUGACUCCAAAGUCCCCAUUCUUUUAUUCUCCAGGUUACUUCUGGUCUCUCAGCCUCUUUGGCUCAUUCCCAGUGAUGCUUCCAGAGAUGUGGGUUUCAGUUCUAUCAGGAGGGAAACACUUGCCUCUGGGCAAUGUUGCUCCCCACAGCCCAGGUGUGACCAUUAAACAACUCAAACUCUUGAUCCAACCACCAGGACUGGGACAACAGAUUAGCUGAAAUAUUAAGAACUCUGAUUCCCUUUAUCCAGUGAUUGUCCCAUCCUCUGAUUUUGGGAAAAUCACUGGAGUCUCCAGUCCCUUCCAGGUCACCUCCCUACAUCCAAGGUUUUGGGUGAGUCUACAGAGCACGGUGGCCCACUUUCCUGUGAGAUUCCUUCUAGGUCCAAACACUCCUCCUAAUUCUCAUUCAGUUGCUAUUGCUGCUGACACAGCAAUUAUUAACACAACUACCUAAGUGCCUUUUAAUUUUGCUGCACAUUUAUUUGAACUACAGUCUGAGUCACCUGGGAUGUGUUAGGAAGAUUAAAUUGAGGAUUCCAGUGACUCAUUUAUAAAUGUUUCCAGGGAAUGGCAAGAAGUUGGAGGGCUAUUUCCCACCAAAGAGCAGAAGUAUGGCUUCCUGCCCGGAAUAUAUCUGCUGAAUCUCAGAGUGAACUCUACAAUGCAUCUUCAUCAGGAUGAAAUAAUAGGAAGACUCCUUGGCUCCAGGGAGAAACCCAGCCUGGGAAGUAAAGCAAGAAUGAAUAUAUGACAAUAGUGAAAGGUCACUUGGACUAUAUGUACUUUGUUUAUUUGAUAAUGUUUAUAAGUAGAGAAAUUUUCUAUAAAAUUUACAAAUUUUGUCUCAUCUUUAAAAGUCUAUGCCUUUCCCACAUGGUAACAAUCAACUGAAAUUUACCAGUGACCAUCCCUUUAGACACUGCAUGAGUUUUUCAAUCUGACACAGGUCUCAAACACCUUUAUUCUUCCAUGUGGUGCUCUUCAACACAUUCAUGUUUCUUACUGGGCUCUAGAGGAUGUUGAAUAUGGGACUCUGGCAUAAGUGAGUCCUAAUGCUGUUGUGUAACCUUGAGAAAGUAACUUAACCUCUCUAGGCUUAGAUUUCUUCACCUAGAGAGUAUGCAAGGAACUAUAGGGUCUCUUGAGCUCCCUCUAGCCAAGACUUUCAACAAUGGGCUUCCAUGUUUUCUCAAUUUUGAAUAAAUGUGGACAUUGGCAAAUUGA